GAAAUUUUAAAAAAUAAUAGUUUUAUUUAAUUAAAUAAUUAGUUGUAAAUUGUAAUAAAUUGUUAAUUUAUUUAUUAAAAAAUAAAGAUAAAUUCAAUUCGGUCUUUAAUUUUGAAUUUCUAAAGAAAAAAAAAGACAUUUCCCAUCGGUUUUCAAUAACAAAAUACUACCCAUUAGAGCUUAAAACAACCAAAGCAGUCCUCAUUAUGAACUACUACCAAUUAAAAGUAAUACAAUUAGUGGAAUAUUAAUUUGGAAUGCAACAACAUGGCUAUCAAACCAGCCAAACAAGCUUAUAAAAUAAUAAAUGUCUCUUGAAGUACUUAAACCAAAACAGCAUCAACACAUAAACUAAUUGAAACCAAACAAAUAAAUAAUAGCAAUGAUUGACCAAACUAGUAACUCUGCUUCUUCUGUGUGCCGGGCAAGCCAGAAACUUUGAUACCUCACCUAGAUGGAAUAGUUAACAAACUGCUUGUACUUCUACAGGUGUGCAAAUAUAGGCACCAAACACAUACUGCAGCAGCACCAUCUUGCCAACGACCUGUUCGAUGCAUCUAACACUAUAAGUAAACCAUCAACCUAAGAAGACACUAAGAAAAUGGAAAGCAGUUGAUCAUUUGAGUUUAAUUUGAAAUAGAAUUAAGUCAAACUUCAAAUUUUGUGAAUUGGAAACUCAAAAUAACCAAAAUUAUUACUAUAUAGCAAGCCAAACCCAAAAAAGAAAUUGAGGUUAAUCAUAAAUUAGGUAACUUACCCAUAUCUGAACCAUUCAAGUGGACAUUUUCAAAUUCAAGGUCAUCAUCAUCCUCAUUAUUACCUAAAACAUUCCUUUGUAGUUUCACCUCUAUGCCAUUUGUAAGAACCUGCAAUUUAUUCAGUGAACCAAGCAUUUAAAUGAAUUCCAAAAAAUCAAGUAGCAACAUAUCACAACAAUUUGGGUACACAAUACGAGAAUACACCCCUCCCCCCUCAAAACCCCACACAUAUAUGUAGAGAGCUACCAUAAGGUUGAAUUAAAAAAGGAAAAUCAUAAAUACUGAAAUAUGGUGGCAUUAGACAAUAAAAGAGAAAAUCUACCUACAAAGUUGUAAAGUUCUAAUGAGAGGAUCUUCAUGAAAUACAGGAGAGCAAAGUAUAAAAAAGAAAAUACUAACCAGAGGUUGAAAAUUAGGGGAAAGGAAAAGAGAGCAAGGAAGUCCACCAGUAUACAAACAAAUAGAAGUAAUCAUAAAAUGCGUUAAACUUGGAAAUCAAGACUUCAACAUAAAAAAAAAAGGGAGCAGACUUAGAAUAGACCAGAUGGCUAUACCAGGACAAUUUCAUUUGCAUCUACAUAUUCAACAAAGAUAUCAAGUUCAUACAACAAAGUUUGGCCAAUAUCAUCAGCGAAUUUCAAAUUCAUUAAAAUUGCUAUCAAAAGUUCUAAACACAACAAAAGAACAAGGUGGGUAACUAAAGGAAUAACCAGCCCUGCAGAAAUGGCAAUAAAAAAUUUUCCAUCAGUGCAUAUCAUAGCUAAAAUCCUCGUACAUCUCAGAAGCUCUUGUGCAGUAAAACUCAACUCUAACACUACGAUUUUAGUUGUUGUUAGCACAUCUCCUAAGGCGUAAGGUAAACUCCGUCAAACAUUUUAUGAUCAACGGUGGUAAUUCCUAAUCUUACAAACAGAUUUAGAAAGAGAACUGGAUUAUAUCUUACAUCGACAUGCUAUUACACUUCACUACUGGUGCGGCAUAUCUACAAAUAUGAGGUUUGCCAAAUGUAUUUAGUUUCCAGUUUUUAAACACAAGUUCAUGUAGAACUGAACGUUCUUUUGCAAUGAAUAAAAAUAGAAUAUGCAUGUGCAGUUAAGAAACCACUUACAUAACCAAGAGACCAACAGUUGAAUUGAAUUUGAUCUAAAUAUGAAUACUUUUUCACAAUCGAAACCAUAAGCAAAUCAAUUACACCCCUAAAAUCAUCUGGUUCAGCAGAUGGAACGUUAACUUUAAGGAGGCAAUAGCCUAAUUAGUCUUAAUAAUUCAUCUUAGCCAAUAUAUGUGGCAAAUAAAGUCUGAUACAUAACUCUGAUAUUUAGCAAAAUCACCUAAUUGUGACUUCCUCAAAUCCAUGAUCAUUUUUUUUGUCAUAUUGGCAAAUUGCUUGACACUCAGCCAAAAGAUGCUGACAUUCCAUGAUCCCUUUUCCAUGACCUUCAAUCCAGUAAUAGCCAAAACCAGUCUAAAUAAGUUCACAUACAUAUUCUUAGUCAACCGUGAUUUACCGAUCUAAUAGUCCAGGCUAACAAUUACAGACAACGGUAAUAGAACUUUCUAGGAAACAAGAAUACUGCUUAGGCUAUUCCUUGAAAGAAACAACAAUGUGUUAAUGCAGUAAAACAUGAUUGAUUAAAUUCCACAAGUGUUAGGUCAAUAGUCAUGCCUCUUAUGACUGAUGUAUACUCUCUUGUCAUUAGAGUAAUCUUACCACCAAUGCAGUAGGAUAACUAUAAAAGGUAACCAAAAUAAUUGAAGUAACAUAAUUGUGUUACUAACCUUUGAAUUUUUUUAUUCACAUAGCAUUUAUAUUCUCAUUGAGUUUCUUUUAGUGCCGCUGUUUGCCACCAAACUGACAUAAAACAGUCAAUGAAAAGAAGCAUGUGCAAAAUCAGUCUAAAGGAAUAGCUAAAGAAAUCAAAAAAUUCUACAAUUGGCUAGAACAAAACUUAUUUUUUCUAUGGAGAAGGAAGGAGAAAGAGCAAAAAUCUCUAGAACAAUACCUCAUUGCAGAGCGCUCUUAUCUCUUAAGCGUCACAACCUCUCAGAGAACUUUCUUUGACACAACCUGAAGAGAACCAAGAAAUUUGGACAUGCAUAAGUAGAAUCAAUUAAGAGAAGAGCUAAAGAACAGGUAGUUCUAGAACAGCCAUAACAUGUAUAUGGAAUUCGAAAAGGGCAGAGGAAAAAUUUCAGGAAAAAAGAUAAUCAGAAGCCAGGAAAAAGAUGAUGUAAGAGAGGGAGAAAAAGCGCUCUGGGAAACCACAACGUACGAUUCUAGAAUUAUGGAUACGAAGAAAGAAGAGAAGAGGCAGGGCUGCGCCACUGCUAUGUUAGGAAAUGGGGGGAGUCCGUCUCUUCUCUUUUUUUGGGGAAGGGGAUCCGUUAGGGUUCUUAAUGGGUGGGGAUUCAGAGAUAACCAAACGACGUCGUUUGGUUUGGUAACAAAUUCU
Molecule: long non-coding RNA, 3211 nt
Filed under: Nicotiana tabacum (common tobacco)
Lineage: Eukaryota; Viridiplantae; Streptophyta; Magnoliopsida; Solanales; Solanaceae
Description: long non-coding RNA (NTAB_LNC009824)
Source: RNAcentral